RNAcentral lists this ribosomal RNA (295 nucleotides) under uncultured Synergistaceae bacterium. RNAcentral describes it as "partial 16S ribosomal RNA". It matches the Rfam family "Bacterial small subunit ribosomal RNA", at positions 1094 to 1382 of the family's 1533-position model. Lineage: Bacteria; Thermotogati; Synergistota; Synergistia; Synergistales; Synergistaceae. The record is from RNAcentral.
GAGCGCAACCCCUCGCUGCCAGUUGCCAACGGGUAGAGCCGGGCGACUCUGGCGGGACGUGCCAUCGACAAGGAUGGAGGAAGGUGGGGAGUGACGUCAAGUCAUCAUGGCCCUUAUGUCCAGGGCGACACACGUGCUACAAUGGCCGGCACAGCGGGAAGCGAGGCAGUGAUGCCAAGCGGAUCCCUUAAAGCCGGUCUCAGUUCGGAUUGAAGUCUGCAACUCGACUUCAUGAAGCUGGAAUCGCUAGUAAUCGCAGAUCAGCCAAGCUGCGGUGAAUACGUUCCCGGGCCUU